This 358-nucleotide unclassified non-coding RNA is filed under the name soil metagenome. RNAcentral's name for it is "partial contains 5.8S ribosomal RNA, internal transcribed spacer 2, and large subunit ribosomal RNA". The stretch from base 1 to 120 matches the Rfam family "5.8S ribosomal RNA", at positions 35 to 154 of the family's 154-position model. The record is from RNAcentral.
GAUGAAGAACGCAGCGAAAUGCGAUAAGUAAUGCGAAUUGCAGAAUCCGUGAGUCAUCGAAUCUUUGAACGCACAUUGCGCCCCUUGGUUAUUCCGAAGGGCAUGCCUGUUCGAGCGUCAUUACGCCCCUCAAGUCCCCUGUGGACUUGGUGUUGGGGAUCGGCGAGGCUGGUUUUCCAGCACAGCCGUCCCUUAAAUUAAUUGGCGGUCUCGCCGUGGCCCUCCUCUGCGCAGUAGUAAAACACUCGCAACAGGAGCCCGGCGCGGUCCACUGCCGUAAAACCCCCCAACUUUUUAUAGUUGACCUCGAAUCAGGUAGGACUACCCGCUGAACUUAAGCAUAUCAAUAAGCGGAGGA